UACCUGAGAGUAAAUCGGAUCAAGAGCUUGCGGGGACCUUCUCACCCAUGAUUAUGUGUGGGGGGUUGUGGGUAACGACUAAAUCUGAUGUUUGUUAACUUACCCUUUGGUGGUUUGUUAACUCGAGAAGCGAGAAGCGAGGUGGUCUAGUCACAAAGGUUUGAAUGUUGUGUUGUUGCUUGAUGUGAUUUCUAGAAUGCAUGCGUCACAUAU
This 213-nucleotide long non-coding RNA is filed under the name Helianthus annuus (common sunflower). Its description in RNAcentral is "sRNA HanXRQr2_Chr15g0701141". The record is from RNAcentral. Lineage: Eukaryota; Viridiplantae; Streptophyta; Magnoliopsida; Asterales; Asteraceae.